GAGGGGUAUAGGUUUUCGGACCUAGAGACCGGCGCACGGGUGCGUAACGCGUAUGUAAUCUACCUUUUACAGAGGGAUAGCCCAGAGAAAUUUGGAUUAAUACCUCAUAGUAUAAUGACUCGGCAUCGAGAUAUUAUUAAAGUUCCAACGGUAAAAGAUGAGCAUGCGUCCCAUUAGCUAGAUGGUAAGGUAACGGCUUACCAUGGCGACGAUGGGUAGGGGUCCUGAGAGGGAGAUCCCCCACACUGGUACUGAGACACGGACCAGACUCCUACGGGAGGCAGCAGUGAGGAAUAUUGGUCAAUGGGCGCAAGCCUGAACCAGCCAUGCCGCGUGCAGGAUGACGGUCCUAUGGAUUGUAAACUGCUUUUGUACAGGAAGAAACACUGGUUCGUGAACCAGCUUGACGGUACUGUAAGAAUAAGGAUCGGCUAACUCCGUG
Molecule: ribosomal RNA, 442 nt
Filed under: uncultured bacterium
Lineage: Bacteria
Description: bacterial SSU rRNA
Rfam family: Bacterial small subunit ribosomal RNA
Source: RNAcentral